AUUGAACGCUGGCGGCAGGCCUAACACAUGCAAGUCGAACGGUAACAGGAAGAAGCUUGCUUCUUUGCUGACGAGUGGCGGACGGGUGAGUCAUGUCUGGGAAACUGCCUGAUGGAGGGGGAUAACUACUGGAAACGGUAGCUAAUACCGCAUAACGUCGCAAGACCAAAGAGGGGGACCUUCGGGCCUCUUGCCAUCGGCUGUGCCCUGAUGGGAUUAGCUAGUAGGUGGGGUAACGGCUCACCUAGGCGACGAUCCCUAGCUGGUCUGAGAGGAUGACCAGCCACACUGGAACUGAGACACGGUCCAGACUCCUACGGGAGGCAGCAGUGGGGAAUAUUGCACAAUGGGCGCAAGCCUGAUGCAGCCAUGCCGCGUGUAUGAAGAAGGCCUUCGGGUUGUAAAGUACUUUCAGCGGGGAGGAAGGGAGUAAAGUUAAUACAUUUGCUCAUUGACGGUACCCGCAGAAGAAGCACCGGCUAACUCCGUG
This 490-nucleotide ribosomal RNA is filed under the name uncultured bacterium. RNAcentral describes it as "partial 16S ribosomal RNA". It matches the Rfam family "Bacterial small subunit ribosomal RNA", at positions 30 to 507 of the family's 1533-position model. The record is from RNAcentral.